AGGUUUUAGACUCCACAAACAGAGUUAAGGAAUUGACAAGUGUCAAAAUAUUUAAAUAUAUAUAUUUUAAAAAAAAACACAUGUCAAUUUUUUAAGGUUGUUUGUGGAAUAAGAAAAUC
This 119-nucleotide microRNA precursor is filed under the name Gossypium raimondii (Peruvian cotton). Its description in RNAcentral is "miR8659b stem-loop (gra-MIR8659b)". The record is from miRBase by way of RNAcentral. Lineage: Eukaryota; Viridiplantae; Streptophyta; Magnoliopsida; Malvales; Malvaceae.